UACGAAGGGGGCUAGCGUUGCUCGGAAUCACUGGGCGUAAAGGGUGCGUAGGCGGGUAUUUAAGUCAGAGGUGAAAUCCUGGAGCUCAACUCCAGAACUGCCUUUGAUACUGAGUAUCUUGAGUACGGGAGAGGUGAGUGGAACUGCGAGUGUAGAGGUGAAAUUCGUAGAUAUUCGCAAGAACACCAGUGGCGAAGGCGGCUCACUGGCCCGUUACUGACGCUGAGGCACGAAAGCGUGGGAGCAAACAGG
Molecule: ribosomal RNA, 252 nt
Filed under: uncultured bacterium
Lineage: Bacteria
Description: partial 16S ribosomal RNA
Rfam family: Bacterial small subunit ribosomal RNA
Source: RNAcentral